AUUGAACGCUGGCGGCAGGCCUAACACAUGCAAGUCGAGCGGAUGAAGGGAGCUUGCUCCUGGAUUCAGCGGCGGACGGGUGAGUAAUGCCUAGGAAUCUGCCUGGUAGUGGGGGAUAACGUCCGGAAACGGGCGCUAAUACCGCAUACGUCCUGAGGGAGAAAGUGGGGGAUCUUCGUACCUCACGCUAUCAGAUGAGCCUAGGUCGGAUUAGCUAGUUGGUGGGGUAAAGGCCUACCAAGGCGACGAUCCGUAACUGGUCUGAGAGGAUGAUCAGUCACACUGGAACUGAGACACGGUCCAGACUCCUACGGGAGGCAGCAGUGGGGAAUAUUGGACAAUGGGCGAAAGCCUGAUCCAGCCAUGCCGCGUGUGUGAAGAAGGUCUUCGGAUUGUAAAGCACUUUAAGUUGGGAGGAAGGGCAGUAAGUUAAUACCUUGCUGUUUUGACGUUACCAACAGAAUAAGCACCGGCUAACUUCGUG
Molecule: ribosomal RNA, 484 nt
Filed under: uncultured bacterium
Lineage: Bacteria
Description: partial 16S ribosomal RNA
Rfam family: Bacterial small subunit ribosomal RNA
Source: RNAcentral